This 1046-nucleotide long non-coding RNA is filed under the name Trifolium pratense (red clover). RNAcentral describes it as "long non-coding RNA (TPRA_LNC008455)". Lineage: Eukaryota; Viridiplantae; Streptophyta; Magnoliopsida; Fabales; Fabaceae. The record is from RNAcentral.
UAAAACAACGAUACAUUCAAACGAUGAAAUUAAAAAUAUAAAAUAAAUUAAAUAAAAUCUACAUAGAAACCACGUAGGAAAAUACACCAAAUUUGCUUGACAAAAAGAAGAAAAUAAAAUACACCAAAUUAGACAACAAUAUGUUUCAUGAAUCAUGUGAUCAGUGAGCUAAUUGUCAACAAAAAUUGGCACUAUUUCUUGCUUACAUGAAUAUGGUAGAACUGUAAAAAAAAAAUGAAUAUGGUAGACCAUUUACUAGAUGCAGUUUUUUGCUUUUAAACUUAAUUUUGACACCCUCGGAAAAAUAUACAAUAUAUAUAUGUACUGCAAUUUGUACAAGAUUGUCACCAUUGACAUUGUCCAACACUCCAACCAUAAUUCGAUGAUGUUUUCUCUCCCCAUCCCGUGAAUCUUUUAUCCCCCUGAGUUUCCAAUUUUGCCCUUGAAAAAACUUCGGUUCGUAGAAACCGAAGUUUUUUUUUGCCUUGAAAACAAAUUUCGGUUUCUAAAAACCGAAAUUUACUCUGAAUUUGCACUAGAAAAAAUUCGGUUUCUACGAACCGAAUUUUUCUACAAGGACAAAAUUGAAAUAUUGGGGGUAUAAAAGAUUCAUGGAAAUGGGGAUGAGAAAACAUCUAAUUCGAUUGUACUUUUUUGUAAAGCUGAAUUUUUAUGGUCUAAACUGAAUUUGUCCACCUUCUAAGAAAAGGACAACACAACCGCAAUUAUUUUUGACAUGACCUACAACAGUGAUCCGUGCUAGUGUAUCAAACAAAAAACUCAGCUCAAAUAUUUCCAGCUUAAGGGACAUGACAUACAAAUUAAGUUUCAUAUACAUACUGGUUUUCUAUUUAUAUAUCUCUUCCCAACUAUACAAAACAAAAAUAAAUUAGUGGAAAAAAAACUAUACCAUGAGAGAUAUAAGAUGAUUUGAUGGUCAAGGCGAAUGAGUUAGGGAGUGAAGUAAUAAUAAGAAUAAGGGUUUGAUUCUCACCGGCCCACAUCAAAACUAAUAAGAAUGCAAUAAUAUCAAUUAUUAAUAUUGG